RNAcentral lists this long non-coding RNA (600 nucleotides) under Anser brachyrhynchus (Pink-footed goose). Its description in RNAcentral is "lncRNA (ENSABRG00000003687.1)". Lineage: Eukaryota; Metazoa; Chordata; Aves; Anseriformes; Anatidae. The record is from RNAcentral.
AAAAGAAAAUGUUUGAGAAAUUGGAUCUCAUUUCUUUCUUUCUUUUUUUCUUUUUUUCUUUUUUUCUUUUUUUCUUUUUUUCUUUUUCUUUCUUUCUUUCUUUCUUUCUUUCUUUCUUUCUUUCUUUCUUUCUUUCUUUCUUUCUUUCUUUUUUGGUUUUCAUCUUGUAUUUGCUUCACUGAAAAUGAAAUUGUAAAUUAGUGUAACAGAGGGUAGAAUUCAUCUGACCUAACUUAAUCUUCUCACCUAAAGAAUUUAAUUUAACAGGUUGUGUAGGUUUCCUGUGUAGAAGACAGAGGAAGACAGAGACCUGUAAGAGGGCUAUUCAUUACAGUAAGGCAAAUAGUACUGAGAAAAGAUUUAUGCUGUGACCCAGUAUCCUCAUACUUGCAAAAGCUGGCUUUAAGGAAAGAGGACAUGCAGUUAGUACGGAUUACUCUGCAGUUAGCAUCAGGGGAAAGCACCCCAGUAAGAAGACUGAUGCUAGCCUCUGUGGAUCAUUCUGAGUAUGUGUUUCUUAAUUUGGGGUUUCUUCUGAAUGAAUGUCAGAGCAGUUAUGAAAAGCUUCAUGAAUCCAGCAGUAGUGUAAAUGGCUUAUGA